AUGGAUCAUGGACCUCUUCCAGAAUCAGCUUUUGUUACAAAUGCUAGAGAUAGCAUACCCCCUCCCAGGGUUGCCACAUCAAUGGCAACAGGCAGGGUUAGAAGAAGAGGGGUGACAGAAGACAUUCCUGAAGAUGUCCCUGAAGCAAGCUACCAGGCAGCUGAAAAUGCAAGAGGGAGAAAGAGGAGAGCAAUUGGAAGAGGCAGGGGAAAUGUCACAGGAGCAGGCAGAGCACCUGGGAGAGGAAAUGGGAGAGGGAUUGGGAUAGCUAGUGGGAGAGGGACUUGGAGUGGUCGUGCCAGAAGGACCGGGAGAGGUCAUACAGGAGGUAGGACAGGACCAGGAGCUGGGUUGUGGAACAUCAUGUUUCCACCAGAUGAAGCUAGAUCAUAUGUGCGAGCCGAGGAGGUCCCAGUGACACAAAAUGCACCACAAGAGGAGUGGCUUGAUGAUUUCCAGACCUUAUAG
RNAcentral lists this ribosomal RNA (468 nucleotides) under Triticum aestivum (bread wheat). RNAcentral describes it as "partial small subunit ribosomal RNA". The record is from RNAcentral. Lineage: Eukaryota; Viridiplantae; Streptophyta; Magnoliopsida; Poales; Poaceae.